AAAACGAGGGCUUUCUAUAGGGAAAACGGUACUAUUUAUUCUGCCAUAGGCGACAAUACUAACAAUUCCUAAAUUUACCACUUUUUAUAAUAAAAACCUGGAUAAAACAGUUAUGUGUGGUGUUAGUACUUUAUUAUUCUAUUUUAAAAAUUAAAGCCAAAUAGUAUCAUGACCAAUUUCCAACGGAGCUUGUUUAUGUUAUCCAUGCCCACCGUCAUUUUACAACAAUUUUUUGAAAUUUUGGAAGCC
Molecule: long non-coding RNA, 249 nt
Filed under: Mytilus galloprovincialis (Mediterranean mussel)
Lineage: Eukaryota; Metazoa; Mollusca; Bivalvia; Mytilida; Mytilidae
Source: RNAcentral